CAAUAGCGUAUAUUAAAGUUGUUGCAGUUAAAAAGCUCGUAGUUGAAUUUUUGCUUGCCGCCGAUGUCGGAACUUCCGUACGUUCGGCGGCGUGCAUCCUUGGGUGGAACCUGUGUGGCAUUAGGUUGUCGUGCAGGGGAUGCUCAUCGUCUACUGUGAAAAAAUUAGAGUGUUCAAAGCAGGCUUAUGCCGUUGAAUAUAUUAGCAUGGAAUAAUAAGAUAGGACCUUGGUACUAUUUUGUUGGUUUGCGCACCGAGGUAAUGAUUAACAGGGACAGUUGGGGGUAUUCGUAUUCCAUUGUCAGAGGUGAAAUUCUUGGAUUUCUGGAAGACGAACUACUGCGAAAGCAUUUACCAAGGAUGUUUUCAUUAA
This 373-nucleotide ribosomal RNA is filed under the name uncultured eukaryote. RNAcentral describes it as "partial 18S ribosomal RNA". It matches the Rfam family "Eukaryotic small subunit ribosomal RNA", at positions 592 to 976 of the family's 1831-position model. The record is from RNAcentral.